CUCGAGGACGAACGCUGGCGGCGUGCCUAAUACAUGCAAGUCGAACGGUCUUUCUAUGGGAAGCUUGCUUCCACUGAGAAGAUAGUGGCGAACGGGUGAGUAACACGUGGGUAACCUGCCCAUAAGAGGGGGAUAACAUCCGGAAACGGGUGCUAAUACCGCAUAGUUUCUUGAUCGCAUGAUUGAGAAAGGAAAGGCGGCCUUUGUGCUGUCGCUUAUGGAUGGACCCGCGGCGUAUUAGUUAGUUGGUGAGGUAAUGGCUCACCAAGACGAUGAUACGUAGCCGACCUGAGAGGGUGAUCGGCCACAUUGGGACUGAGACACGGCCCAAACUCCUACGGGAGGCAGCAGUAGGGAAUCUUCCGCAAUGGACGAAAGUCUGACGGAGCAACGCCGCGUGAGUGAAGAAGGUUUUCGGAUCGUAAAACUCUGUUGUCAGAGAAGAACAAGUUGGAAAGUAACUGCUCCAGCCUUGACGGUAUCUGACCAGAAAGCCACGGCUAACUACGUGCCAGCCGCGGC
RNAcentral lists this ribosomal RNA (522 nucleotides) under uncultured bacterium. Its description in RNAcentral is "bacterial SSU rRNA". It matches the Rfam family "Bacterial small subunit ribosomal RNA", at positions 26 to 518 of the family's 1533-position model. The record is from RNAcentral.